Pieris rapae (cabbage white) is the source of this 662-nucleotide long non-coding RNA. RefSeq lists it as uncharacterized. The record is from RefSeq and is a predicted model, not a curated record. The transcript has 3 exons. Lineage: Eukaryota; Metazoa; Arthropoda; Insecta; Lepidoptera; Pieridae.
UCUAAAACGAUUAGUGGGCUAAAAUAGACUUUAUGACCCACUAAAUAACACUCCGGAAACCACUUAUGUGUAUUGGUAUUUAACACGUCAUGUCAUUUACACAUUAAAAGAUGUACAUAUCAAAUUCGCCUCCAUGUUAAACUUUGUAUCGCGUUAGUUAUUUUCAAGAAAAUCAAGCAAUUAGUAAUAGGUAUUUAAUAAUGUAUAAAAACAAAGGUCAAACAAACAAUCAUAGUUAAUGUUUUUAUUUCUACGCCAUAUUCGUUCUCAAAAAAUCACUGCAAUAACAUGGAGCGUCGUAAACUAUUUUGACGUAAAUAGAUAAUCAAUUACAUUAAGAUUAGAUAAGCUUAUCUUCAAAAAUUUACUCGAAAUAUAAGCGAAAAACUACUAACAUCUUAUAUCUUUUGUUUACGCGACUUCGUAAACUUAAAAAAGAUACAUAUAAAAGGAUUAUGCAGCAUUUAAUUGUUAACAUCAUACAAUAUUUAUUUUAACAUGCAGUGUGUUAUCGGCUGAAAACGAACAGGCGUAAUGGAACAUAUAAAUAAAAACGUGAUUUACCAAACAUUUGUGAUUAACACUGAGCUACUCUAAUAAAAGGCGAAGGUACUGAGCUAAGUGCGGCCACAGCAGAACCAUACGAGUAUCCAGUUCCUGAG